CCCAGACAGCCAGGAUGUUGGCUUAGAAGCAGCCAUCAUUUAAAGAAAGCGUAAUAGCUCACUGGUCGAGUCGGCCUGCGCGGAAGAUGUAACGGGGCUAAACCAUGCACCGAAGCUGCGGCAGCGAACGUAUCACUUAAAGCGAUUCAGCGGGUUACGAUUGACGGAGCGAAGCGACGUCAAAGCGUAUACAAAGUCGAGUCGGUUUAAGGAUACGUUCGUUGGGUAGGGGAGCGUUCUGUAAGCCUGUGAAGGUGUGUCGUGAGGCAUGCUGGAGGUAUCAGAAGUGCGAAUGCUGACAUAAGUAACGAUAAAGCGGGUGAAAAGCCCGCUCGCCGGAAGACCAAGGGUUCCUGUCCAACGUUAAUCGGGGCAGGGUGAGUCGACCCCUAAGGCGAGGCCGAAAGGCGUAGUCGAUGGGAAACGGGUUAAUAUUCCCGUACUUGGUGUUACUGCGAAGGGGGGACGGAGAAGGCUAUGUUGGCCGGGCGACGGUUGUCCCGGUUUAAGCGUGUAGGUGUGUGUUCCAGGUAAAUCCGGUUCACUUUAACACUGAGGCGUGAUGACGAGGCACUACGGUGCUGAAGCAACAAAUGCCCUGCUUCCAGGAAAAGCCUCUAAGCAUCAGGUAACAUCAAAUCGUACCCCAAACCGACACAGGUGGUCAGGUAGAGAAUACCAAGGCGCUUGAGAGAACUCGGGUGAAGGAACUAGGCAAAAUGGUGCCGUAACUUCGGGAGAAGGCACGCUGACA
This 754-nucleotide ribosomal RNA is filed under the name Salmonella enterica subsp. enterica serovar Infantis. Its description in RNAcentral is "partial 23S ribosomal RNA". It matches the Rfam family "Bacterial large subunit ribosomal RNA", at positions 1084 to 1756 of the family's 2925-position model. The record is from RNAcentral. Lineage: Bacteria; Pseudomonadati; Pseudomonadota; Gammaproteobacteria; Enterobacterales; Enterobacteriaceae.